This 468-nucleotide ribosomal RNA is filed under the name uncultured bacterium. Its description in RNAcentral is "partial 16S ribosomal RNA". It matches the Rfam family "Bacterial small subunit ribosomal RNA", at positions 28 to 507 of the family's 1533-position model. The record is from RNAcentral.
GACGAACGCUGGCGGCGUGCUUAACACAUGCCAGUCGAACGGUGAAGCUCCAGCUUGCUGGAGUGGAUCAGUGGCGAACGGGUGAGUAACACGUGAGCAACCUGCCCCUGACUCUGGAAUAAGCGCUGGAAACGGCGUCUAAUACUGGAUACGAGAAGGGUCCGCAUGGGCACUUUCUGGAAAGUUUUUCGGUUGGGGAUGGGCUCGCGGCCUAUCAGCUUGUUGGUGAGGUAAUGGCUCACCAAGGCGACGACGGGUAGCCGGCCUGAGAGGGCGACCGGCCACACGGGGACUGAGACACGGCCCAGACUCCUACGGGAGGCAGCAGUGGAGAAUAUUGCACAAUGGGCGAAAGCCUGAUGCAGCGACGCCGCGUGAGGGAUGACGGCCUUCGGGUUGUAAACCUCUUUCAGCAGGGAAGAAGCGAAAGUGACGGUACCUGCAGAAGAAGCACCGGCUAACUACGUG